Long non-coding RNA from Mus pahari (shrew mouse), 703 nucleotides. RefSeq lists it as uncharacterized. The transcript has 4 exons. NCBI's taxonomy places the organism in Eukaryota, Metazoa, Chordata, Mammalia, Rodentia, Muridae. The record is from RefSeq and is a predicted model, not a curated record.
GAAGUCUUGUAUGGUUAAGAACGUUAAAUUCCCUGCCUUGAGUUUCAAGCAAGAGCCAGUGCAGAUUUGAAAAUGAAUGACCACUUAUAUGCAGUCAUUUCCAGGCUCUGGUAAGGAGACUGAGGCUCAGCCAGAUUUUUGCUCAGAGUUGUAUUGGUAAUUACCAGGCAGAGCUGGGUUUGGACGCAAAUGUUUUCAGUUCAUUUUAUCUUUGAAGACAAGGUUCAAGAACAGGAAAGCAUUAACUAAGCCUUUCAGAGGACCUCCAGAGAAAGGAAAGAUGUGAUGCAUGGAGAGCUGGACUUAAGGUAACAUGACUGAAGGAAACAUGCCUAGAGCAUAGGAGUUGCCAAGGCUUGAAUAAACAAGAAAGAAUGGAGGACAGACGGCUUCAAAGUCAAGUCUGACAAGGAAAAACCUAGGCUGCUCAAUAGGCACUGGUUCCUUUUCCAGCUAAGACUGCCCGGGAUCACUUCCACAUACCUCCUCUAUGUGUUGGCUCUCCUCUCCUAUGUCUAGAAUAAUCCAGAAAAAUGUGACCAUCAUACUCUACUCAGGAAUCCACCUCUGUGGGUCAUUUUGGACUGGUCAUAUAAGAAGGCUCAGAUUUUCUGGCCCAUAGCUACAUGUGGAUUCAUAUUUGGAAGUGGCAGAAGUAUUCUUGGAUGCCUGACUGAAGAUUGCAAAAGGUAUUUAAACAGUG